Molecule: ribosomal RNA, 455 nt
Filed under: uncultured bacterium
Lineage: Bacteria
Description: bacterial SSU rRNA
Rfam family: Bacterial small subunit ribosomal RNA
Source: RNAcentral
UACGGAAGGCAGCAGUAGGGAAUCUUCCGCAAUGGACGAAAGUCUGACGGAGCAACGCCGCGUGAACGAUGAAGGCUUUCGGGUCGUAAAGUUCUGUUGUUAGGGAGAACAAGUACCGGAGUAACUGCCGGUACCUUGACGGUACCUAACCAGAAAGCCACGGCUAACUACGUGCCAGCAGCCGCGGUAAUACGUAGGUGGCAAGCGUUGUCCGGAAUUAUUGGGCGUAAAGCGCGCGCAGACGGUCCUUUAAGUCUGAUGUGAAAGCCCACGGCUCAACCGUGGAGGGUCAUUGGAAACUGGGGGACUUGAGUGCAGAAGAGGAGAGUGGAAUUCCACGUGUAGCGGUGAAAUGCGUAGAGAUGUGGAGGAACACCAGUGGCGAAGGCGACUCUCUGGUCUGUAACUGACGCUGAGGGCGCGAAAGCGUGGGGAGCGAACAGGGAUUAGAUACC